CCAUGUUUCCUUCUCUUCAACGCCAUGAUCGUGUCACUGAUGCAGGCGGGGUUCGCCUGUCUGGAGGCAGGUUGUGUCAACUCCAAGAACGUCACCAACAUCAUUAUGAAAAAUGUGCUGGACCUGUUCAUAUGUGGGAUCUUCUACUGGCU
Molecule: long non-coding RNA, 152 nt
Organism: Homalodisca vitripennis (glassy-winged sharpshooter)
Lineage: Eukaryota; Metazoa; Arthropoda; Insecta; Hemiptera; Cicadellidae
Exons: 3
Source: RefSeq, a predicted model, not a curated record